CAAAUCUUAAUGGACAACUAGAAAAUCUUAAUGGAUUUUAUUUGAUUUUUUUUAUUAUUAAAAACUAAAUAAAUAAAACAAACCUUUUCACUUACUCUCUCUCACAAUUAAAGAAAAAAGCUGAAAUAAAAAGAAAUAAAAAUCUUGAAAAUACUCUUCUUUCUCCAAUGGUAAAAAAAAAAGAAAAGAAGAAAAAGAAAAUUAAAGAAAUGAUUCACACUCACGCAUCCCUCGGGACCACAAUAAUUUUCUCUCUACCCACCCAUUAAGGAGUGGCCACUUUUCCAAUUUAUGGCUGGCUGAAGGUGAAAAGGCAGAGGGAGAAAAAUUAAAGGAACCACUCUCUCACACGCGUCUUUCUCUUAUCUCUCC
RNAcentral lists this long non-coding RNA (372 nucleotides) under Lathyrus oleraceus (garden pea). Its description in RNAcentral is "Pisum sativum (pea) long non-coding RNA (PSAT_LNC035248)". The record is from RNAcentral. Lineage: Eukaryota; Viridiplantae; Streptophyta; Magnoliopsida; Fabales; Fabaceae.